CGCCGACGAGGCGGCAGACGACCGCCCGCGGAACGAGCGGCCGCCACCGGCGCGUUCGUCGACGACGACGGCGCCUCGGCGCGGGCGGUGGAAAAAUCAGA
Long non-coding RNA from Octopus sinensis (East Asian common octopus), 101 nucleotides. RefSeq lists it as uncharacterized. The record is from RefSeq and is a predicted model, not a curated record. The transcript has 3 exons. NCBI's taxonomy places the organism in Eukaryota, Metazoa, Mollusca, Cephalopoda, Octopoda, Octopodidae.